This 423-nucleotide ribosomal RNA is filed under the name uncultured bacterium. RNAcentral describes it as "bacterial SSU rRNA". It matches the Rfam family "Bacterial small subunit ribosomal RNA", at positions 355 to 775 of the family's 1533-position model. The record is from RNAcentral.
UAAGGAAUAUCGGACAAUGGUCGCAAGACUGAUCCAGCCAUGCCGCGUGAAGGAUGACGGCCCUAUGGGUUGUAAACUUCUUUUGUACGGGAAAAAACCCCUCUACGUGUAGAGGGCUGAUUGUACCGUAAGAAUAAGGAUCGGCUAACUCCGUGCCAGCAGCCGCGGUAAUACGGAGGAUCCAAGCGUUAUCCGGAUUUAUUGGGUUUAAAGGGUGCGUAGGCGGAACGAUAAGUCAGUGGUGAAAGCCUGCAGCUUAACUGCAGAACUGCCAUUGAUACUGUCGAUCUUGAGUACAUUUGAUGUGGGCGGAAUGUGUCAUGUAGCGGUGAAAUGCUUAGAUAUGACACAGAACACCGAUUGCGAAGGCAGCUCACAAAACUGUAACUGACGCUGAGGCACGAAAGCGUGGGUAUCAAACAG